UUAACUUACACUAACCAGCGCCAGGGAAUUACGAGCAAUGCUUAAAACCCAAAGGAUUUGACGGUGUCCCACCCCACUAGAGGAGCCUGUUCUAUAAUCGAUGAUCCCCGCUACACCCGACCAUUCCUCGCUUAUCAGUCUGUAUACCUCCGUCGAAAGCUUACCAUGUGAACGCCCGCAGUAAGCUUAAUGACCUAACCGUCAACACGUCAGGUCAAGGUGCAGCUUAAGGAAUGGGAAGUGAUGGGCUACAAUUUCUAACUUAGAACAAACGAAAGACUAUGUGAAAUCCUAGUCAUGAAGGUGGAUUUAGUAGUAAAAAGAAAGUAGAGUGUUCUUUUUAACCCGGCUCUGGGACGCGUACACACCGCCCGUCACCCUCUUCGAUAGUAUUUUUAUUCUGUCCCUAACCCCACACCACGUCUUAGAAGAGGCAAGUCGUAACAUGGUAAGUGUACUGGAAAGUGCACUUGGUAUACUA
This 481-nucleotide ribosomal RNA is filed under the name Rana shuchinae (gland-shanked pond frog). Its description in RNAcentral is "partial 12S ribosomal RNA". It matches the Rfam family "Bacterial small subunit ribosomal RNA", at positions 852 to 1533 of the family's 1533-position model. Lineage: Eukaryota; Metazoa; Chordata; Amphibia; Anura; Ranidae. The record is from RNAcentral.